UACGUAGGGGGCAAGCGUUAUCCGGAUUUACUGGGUGUAAAGGGAGCGUAGACGGCGGCGCAAGCCAGAUGUGAAAGCCCGGGGCUCAACCCCGGGACUGCAUUUGGAACUGUGCUGCUAGAGUGUCGGAGAGGCAGGCGGAAUUCCUAGUGUAGCGGUGAAAUGCGUAGAUAUUAGGAGGAACACCAGUGGCGAAGGCGGCCUGCUGGACGAUGACUGACGUUGAGGCUCGAAAGCGUGGGUAUCGAACAGG
Molecule: ribosomal RNA, 253 nt
Filed under: uncultured bacterium
Lineage: Bacteria
Description: partial 16S ribosomal RNA
Rfam family: Bacterial small subunit ribosomal RNA
Source: RNAcentral